RNAcentral lists this ribosomal RNA (468 nucleotides) under uncultured bacterium. Its description in RNAcentral is "partial 16S ribosomal RNA". It matches the Rfam family "Bacterial small subunit ribosomal RNA", at positions 28 to 523 of the family's 1533-position model. The record is from RNAcentral.
GAUGAACGCUGGCGGCGUGCCUAACACAUGCAAGUCGAGCGAUUCUCUUCGGAGAAGAGCGGCGGACGGGUGAGUAACGCGUGGGUAACCUGCCCUGUACACACGGAUAACAUACCGAAAGGUAUGCUAAUACGAGAUAAUAUGCUUUUAUCGCAUGGUAGAAGUAUCAAAGCUUUUGCGGUACAGGAUGGACCCGCGUCUGAUUAGCUAGUUGGUAAGGUAACGGCUUACCAAGGCGACGAUCAGUAGCCGACCUGGGAGGGUGAUCGGCCACAUUGGAACUGAGACACGGUCCAAACUCCUACGGGAGGCAGCAGUGGGGAAUAUUGCACAAUGGGCGAAAGCCUGAUGCAGCAACGCCGCGUGAGCGAUGAAGGCCUUCGGGUCGUAAAGCUCUGUCCUCAAGGAAGAUAAUGACGGUACUUGAGGAGGGAGCCCCGGCUAACUACGUGCCAGCCGCCGCCGUAA